CCUACGGGAGGUAGCAGUGGGGAAUCUUGCACAAUGGGGGAAACCCUGAUGCAGCGACGCCGCGUGAGCGACGAAGCCCUUCGGGGUGUAAAGCUCUUUCGGCAGGGACGAUAAUGACGGUACCUGCAGAAGAAGCUGCGGCUAACUACGUGCCAGCAGCCGCGGUAAUACGUAGGCAGCGAGCGUUGUUCGGAAUUACUGGGCGUAAGGCGUGCGUAGGCGGUCGGCUAAGUUUGGUGUGAAAUCUCCCGGCUCAACCGGGAGGGUGCGCCGAAAACUGGCCGGCUAGAGGGCGGGAGAGGGAAGUGAAAUUCCUGGUGUAGCGGUAAAAUGCGUAGAUAUCAGGAGGAACACCGAUGGCGAAGGCAGCCCCCGGGGUUGGCACUGACGCUCAGGCACGAAAGCGUGGGGAGCAAACAGGAUUAGAUCCCCCGGUAGU
This 439-nucleotide ribosomal RNA is filed under the name uncultured Bryobacterales bacterium. RNAcentral describes it as "partial 16S ribosomal RNA". It matches the Rfam family "Bacterial small subunit ribosomal RNA", at positions 338 to 794 of the family's 1533-position model. The record is from RNAcentral. Lineage: Bacteria; Pseudomonadati; Acidobacteriota; Terriglobia; Bryobacterales.